UUUGAGAGUUUGAUCCUGGCUCAGGACGAACGCUAGCGGCGUGCUUAAGGUAUGCAAGUCGAUCGCCCCAUCUUCGCAAGAAGAUGGGUAGCGAGGCGAACGGGUGAGUAACGCGUGGGAACCUUCCUCCAAGUCGGUCAUAACCCCGAGAAAUCGGGGAUAAUUACCGAUAGUCCCAGGCCGUAUCUCAUUGCAUUCGAUUCGGAAAUUCGAAACUCGAAUAUCGAAAUUCGAAACAAUAUCUAAUUUUCAAAAUUUCAAAUUUAAAACAUUUGGAAAUUGCGAUUUUGGAUUUGUUUAGGAUUUCUCCACCAGAGGCGGACCAGCCUUGGGCUGGGGAUUUGGGAUUUUGGGCUUCCGCAAUCGAGCACAGCGAGAUGCGGUUUGGGUAAAGAUUUAUCGCUUGGAGAUGGGCCUGCGUCCCAUCAGCUUGUUGGUAGGGUAACGGCCUACCAAGGCGACGACGGGUAGGGGGUGUGAGAGCAUGGCCCCCCACAAUGGCACUGAGACAAGGGCCAUACGCCUACGGGUGGCAGCAAUCGGGAAUCUUGCACAAUGGACGGAAGUCUGAUGCAGCGACGCCGCGUGAAGGAUGAAGGCCGAAAGGUUGUAAACUUCUUAAUCGCCCCACCUUUGCGUCCGAGUUACUCGGAAAUAAAGGUGGGGUGAGGAUUAAGCACCGGCUAACUACGUGCCAGCAGCAGCGGUAAAACGUAGGGUGCGAGCGUUGUCCGGAAUUAUUGGGCGUAAAGAGUACGUAGGUGUCCCGCCAAGUUUUCUGUUAAAUUUCAGGGCUCAACCCUGAAACGUCAGAAAAAACUGGCGGGAUUGAGGAAGGUAGGGGAUGGCGGAACAUUGCAAGGAGGGGUGAAAUCCGAUGAUCUGCGAUGGAACACCAAAGGCGAAGGCAGCCAUCUGGGCCUUUCCUGACACUGAGGUACGAAAGCUAGGGGAGCGAAACGGAUUAGAUACCCGUGUAGUCCUAGCCGUAAACGAUGGACACUAGCUAUCCAGUUUUGGGUGGCGUAAGCUAACGCGUUAAGUGUCCCGCCUGGGGAGUACGGCCGCAAGGCUAAAACUCAAAGGAAUUGACGGGGACCCGCACAAGCGGUGGAGCAUGUGGUUUAAUUCGAUGAUAACCGAAGAAUCUCACCAGGGUUUGACAUGCAAGUGGUAGGAACCCGAAAGGUGACCGACCCGCAAGGGAGCUUGCACAGGUGUUGCAUGGCUGUCGUCAGCUCGUGGCGUGAGCUGUAUGGUUAAGUCCCAUAACGAGCGCAACCCCUAUUGCCAGUUAGAAAUGUCUGGCGAGACUGCCCGGAUAACCGGGAGGAAGGUGGGGACGACGUCAAGUCAGCAUGGCCUUUAUGCCCUGGGCCACACACAUGCUACAAUGGCGACUCACAACAGGUUGCAAUCCCGUAAGGGUUAGCUAAUCCUCAAAAGUCGUCUCAGUUCGGAUUGGGGGCUGAAACUCGCCCCCAUGAAGUAGGAAUCGCUAGUAAUGGCCGGUCAGCUAUACGGCCGUGAAUACGUUCUCGGGUCUUGUACACACCGCCCGUCAAAUGGGAAAAGUUGGGGCUCGCUGAAG
Molecule: ribosomal RNA, 1591 nt
Filed under: candidate division WWE3 bacterium
Lineage: Bacteria; candidate division WWE3
Description: bacterial SSU rRNA
Rfam family: Bacterial small subunit ribosomal RNA
Source: RNAcentral